AGCAGUCGCCGCGGUAAUACGUAGGUGGCAAGCGUUGUCCGGAAUUAUUGGGCGUAAAGGGCUCGCAGGCGGUUUCUUAAGUCUGAUGUGAAAGCCCCCGGCUCAACCGGGGAGGGUCAUUGGAAACCGGGAAACUUGAGUGCAGAAGAGGAGAGUGGAAUUCCACGUGUAGCGGCGAGAUGCGUAGAGAUGUGGAGGAACACCAGUGGCGAAGGCGACUCUCUGGUCUGUAACUGACGCUGAGGAGCGAAAGCGUGGGGAGCGAACAGGAUUAGAUACCCCUGUAGUCCCUGUCUCUUAUAC
Molecule: ribosomal RNA, 303 nt
Filed under: uncultured bacterium
Lineage: Bacteria
Description: partial 16S ribosomal RNA
Rfam family: Bacterial small subunit ribosomal RNA
Source: RNAcentral